CCCCAUGCUCCAGAAUAGCUCUUGGAAACGGGUGGUAAUGCUGGAUGCUCCAACUUGACGCAUGUCUUGUUGGGAAAGUGUUUAGUGGCAUGGGAUGGGGUCGCGUCCUAUCAGCUUGUAGGCGGGGUAAUGGCCCACCUAGGCUUCGACGGGUAGCCGGCCUGAGAGGGCGGACGGCCACAUUGGGACUGAGAUACGGCCCAGACUCCUACGGGAGGCAGCAGAA
Molecule: ribosomal RNA, 226 nt
Filed under: uncultured Gardnerella sp.
Lineage: Bacteria; Bacillati; Actinomycetota; Actinomycetes; Bifidobacteriales; Bifidobacteriaceae
Description: partial 16S ribosomal RNA
Rfam family: Bacterial small subunit ribosomal RNA
Source: RNAcentral